This 232-nucleotide unclassified non-coding RNA is filed under the name uncultured fungus. RNAcentral describes it as "sequence contains ITS1, 5.8S rRNA gene". The stretch from base 184 to 232 matches the Rfam family "5.8S ribosomal RNA", at positions 1 to 49 of the family's 154-position model. Lineage: Eukaryota; Fungi. The record is from RNAcentral.
UCUCCGUAGGUGAACCUGCGGAGGGAUCAUUACCGAGUGAGGGUCCUUGUGGCCCGACCUCCAACCCUUUGUGAACCCAUCUUGUUGCUUCGGGGGCGACCCUGCCGGCACUCGGUCGCCGGGCGCCCCCGAAGGUCUCCCAACACUGCAUCUUUGCGUCGGAGUGUAAAACAAAUGAAACAAAACUUUCAACAACGGAUCUCUUGGUUCUGGCAUCGAUGAAGAACGCAGC